GAUGAAGAACGUAGCGAAAUGCGAUACGUAAUGUGAAUUGCAAAUUCAGUGAAUCAUCGAGUCUUUGAACGCACAUUGCGCCCCCUGGUAUUCCGGGGGGCAUGCCUGUCCGAGCGUCAUUGCUGCCCUCAAGCACGGCUUGUGUGUUGGGCCCCGUCCUCCGAUCCCGGGGGACGGGCCCGAAAGGCAGGGGCGGCACCGCGUCCGGUCCUCGAGCGUAUGGGGCUUUGUCACCCGCUCUGUAGGCCCGGCCGGCGCUUGCCGAUCAACCCAAAUUUUUAUCCAGGUUGACCUCGGAUCAGGUAGGGAUACCCGCUGAACUUAAGCAUAUCAAUAAGCGGAGGA
This 345-nucleotide unclassified non-coding RNA is filed under the name soil metagenome. RNAcentral's name for it is "partial contains 5.8S ribosomal RNA, internal transcribed spacer 2, and large subunit ribosomal RNA". The stretch from base 1 to 119 matches the Rfam family "5.8S ribosomal RNA", at positions 35 to 154 of the family's 154-position model. The record is from RNAcentral.